Molecule: long non-coding RNA, 1204 nt
Organism: Lagopus muta (rock ptarmigan)
Lineage: Eukaryota; Metazoa; Chordata; Aves; Galliformes; Phasianidae
Exons: 3
Source: RefSeq, a predicted model, not a curated record
CCUCCAGAAACUGCAGCUCUUAUGUGCAACUAUUGGUAAUCCUACCCAGGAGACCAAAUUUGGAGGGCCCUGUGGAAAAAGGGCGUAGCUUAAAUCUCCCAGCCCAGCUCCCCGGCCACAGGGCUGCAUUUCAGCUGAACCAUUGGUGCAGCAUGGUCACAAGUAGGGGCAAGGCUCCGCGGUCCCAGUGUGAGUGCUGAUCCAAAAGAUCCGGGGACGCCCUUUCCAGCAGUGCACCAACACUGUGGCUGGAUAGGGAAGCUAGAAAUCACUGGGGAGAGAAGGGGAGAGGAGGCGCUGUUAGCACAGCCGGGCUUAAAAAUGGGGAGGUGUGGGAGGCUGCUGCAAGCACCGCGGCCACCCGCCCUGUUACAGGGAAUGUUUCCAGCAGCUGCGCCGCAGGCGGCUGCCACUGCCUCCAAAAGCCGCAGCAGCAGCGAGGAGCUGCAGACGUGCAGAAGGGCUCACGCCAAGGCUGCGCAGUCACAGGGAAAUAGGGUGAAGAAAUUGUGUAAUGCCAGAAGAGCAGUGUGCCUGGAGCAAAGGUUUGGAAGGAUGAUGAGAAAAGUGAAUGGUCCAACCUCCUCAACAAACAUUCUCAAGGCAUUGCCACAUGAUCCGGAAAGUCCUCACUGUCCAGCGUCACUGAGAUGUAAGGUUUCUUCAACCCGUCACAUGGCCUAACGUUUUCCUGACGAAAUGACUAAAAGUUUGGACAACUUGUGACAGGAACCACAGACAUUACUUCUCACUGCUUCAUUUACUUCUCAAUUGCCACACAACGAGACUGAAAGCUGGAGACGUUUUCAAACUGCCUGGCAUGAUUGUUGCACUAUUUGUGUGAAUGCUGGCACCCUGGCCAUCCAGGUACACUGCGGCCAUCAAAAAUAAACUGACUGUGCUUCCAGCAACUUUGUAUAGAUUGGGAUAUUCCUGGAUGGAUGGAGUUCUUCCAGUCUUUUUUCACUGUGUUUGCUAGACCUCUUAUCUUUCUCCUUCCUCCCUUCUGGACUUUUUCCAGUUUGUUGGUGUUUUUGUGUCCAAAAUAGAGUAGCAGUCCCCAGGGUGGAACUAUUACCUCACUUGUCCUGAGGGCUAUUCUCUUGUUUAUAAGUCCAGCAUGUUGCAUGCCUUUUUCAUAGUGAUAUCAUAGCACAGACUGAUGUUCAGGGCAUGACCCUGAUCCUGCCUUGAAGAACUUGUA